UGCUUAGUUGACUUCCAAGAAAUUGUUGUGCCGCCGUAUGUGAAUACAUAACCUGUCUGAGAUUUUGCUUUGUGAGGAUCUGAUAGAUAUCCGGCAUCAGCAUACCCAACAAGCUGGGACUUUUGAUCUUUCUGAUAGAAAAGACCUAAGUCUUGUGUCCCACAAAUAUACCGGAGUAUAUGUUUUACACCAUUCCAGUGUCUACGUGUUGGAUUCGAACUGUAUCUCGCUAGUACAUGUACUGCAAAUGCAAUGUCAGGUCUUGUGUUAUUUGCGAGAUACAUAAGGGCACCGAUCGCGCUUAAGUAUGGAUCCUUGUGUGGAUCUAGCGGUCGGACAACCAUAG
This 346-nucleotide long non-coding RNA is filed under the name Helianthus annuus (common sunflower). RNAcentral's name for it is "sRNA HanXRQr2_Chr07g0293471". The record is from RNAcentral. Lineage: Eukaryota; Viridiplantae; Streptophyta; Magnoliopsida; Asterales; Asteraceae.